AAAAGGAAAUGUUUUGAUGACAUUUUAGCCCUUAUAUAACUAUGCAUUCGUAUUUGUCUUUGCUAUAGUUCAUUCUAAGAGUAAUAUUUUCAACAAUUAAGGGAAGCUCUUACAUACCAGCAUUAUACACUUAGAUAUGGAUAAAUUUCUGUAGUAAGUAGUGUGAGUCAUCUGUCAUGAACUGUACAAUAUAAAUGUUUUUGUCAGCAUUGUGGAUCAGCAUUUUUAUUGAUUUAUUUUUGCAAUAUUUGCAAAUUAUAGGGAUCUCUUGGGGAGCUCUUAAUUUUACUUCUCUAUGGAUGGCAAAAUGUGAAAGCAACAAGAGAGGUCAGUGUUACAUUCUUCAACAGCAUCAUGUCUCUUUUCUUUGCUCUGCUGAGACAAAAAGGUGCUUCUUUAUAGUCAAGAUGGUGCUUCCUCCAAUCAUCAAUCAUACGCCCUUCAACCUGUAAUGCAGAAGUCAAUAAAAGUAUCAAUUAAUUUAAUGCAUUCGGAUGACGUGAGUUCCUACAAGAGAAUAAGAAUUGUGUAGAUUAACUGUGCAUUUUGUGAUUUGGUUAUUGAAACCACAGAAUUCAUGUUUUCUGGUGUACAGCAUUUUGGACGUUCUGAAAUAUUCAAGACCUGCCCUACAAAAAGAAAACUACAUUAAACAAAUUAGGCAUGUACAAGAAAAACUGGACAUUAACCACAAUGAAUCUAGAGAUAAUAUACUAAUUAUGCAAUAAUUCACUCUGUGGUGCUAACAGCGUUCCAUUUUGCAUUGGGCCUCAUCACACCACCUUAGAGUGGAAUGUUUUCAUAUAACAGCAUGGCUCAUCAUAUGAUAUUCAAUACACGUUAACUACCACCUUUCAUCCUUUGUCCCACCCACUGUGGCAAAACGUAAAGCACCUAUUUAAACUACUUAUCCCUGCCAUUUCCACUUAAUUCUAUAGUCUCAUCAAUCUGUACUGCUUUGUGCCCUUACUUUUUAUGUGUGUAACAUGCUAUGUACAGUGCUUCCUUGUCAUAUAUACAGCAGGUUUCUUGUUUUUACAUGUUAAGUCAUCUGUAGGCACAUGCUGCUGUAUUAAAUUUGAUUUUGACUGGAAGUAACUCCAUACUCAUUACUUAUGAUAAUUAAUUAAUGCAUGAAUUCUGAUAACGUUCAAUUAAUGAAAUAAUAGUACAUUUUGUAGCAAAAAUAACAAUGCAUGUUUUUGUCUAAGGGAAAAAAAAAUCACAAUCCCUUUUCACUAAAUGUUAGCGGAAAAAAAGGCUACAACAAAUCUGGUAGCAGACAUUCAGUUGGCUAUGGUGUAGAUUACACCAACUUGGGUGACCUCAAUGUUUAUGGGAAUAAACACACAUACCCCAUUAAGAAGCCCAUCUACGCGUCAACUGAUUUCAUAAAUGUAAAUAGAAAUAUCUUUAUCAUUGGACCUGCCAUAUUUUUUACAUGAGGAUAAUGAAUUUACAAAUUCAUGUGAUUUCAUUAUGUUAAAUAAUGGCUUGCUUUGAAUAAAAAAUAAAUAAAAAAAAGAUAAAUGCUUAUAUGGAAAUUUGGUCAGUUGGUAUGGAUGUAUGGAUGUAUUUAUGCAAUUACAUGCAAAUACAGUUGACUAGUAAUUGUAUUAAUAAUAGAAAUACCACUGUGUUUUCUUUUUUUUUUUUUUUGGCUGUGACCAUUAAAGUGUUAAAUAAAAAGUAUUAACGUAUUGACUGUG
This is a long non-coding RNA of Ictalurus punctatus (channel catfish), 1709 nucleotides long. Lineage: Eukaryota; Metazoa; Chordata; Actinopteri; Siluriformes; Ictaluridae. The record is from Ensembl.